RNAcentral lists this long non-coding RNA (933 nucleotides) under Chlamydomonas reinhardtii. Its description in RNAcentral is "long non-coding RNA (CREI_LNC000751)". The record is from RNAcentral. Lineage: Eukaryota; Viridiplantae; Chlorophyta; Chlorophyceae; Chlamydomonadales; Chlamydomonadaceae.
GCAGAAAGUCGGCAUGCAGGGCGCCUCGCGUUGCUCUUCAUUCAAGCGUCGCGCCGUCACCCCGUCACGUUCCAUACCAUACCAAAGUGUCUGUGAUGUAAGUGCUCGGGUAUCGGUUGCUUGGUGUCGGAGCGGUGUCGGGGCGCGACCAAAUGAUCCUGCCACCGGCGCAUGACCGCGUUUGACGCGACCUGCUCUGCAAUGCCUCUCACCGUGACAUCGGUCAUAUAUCGGCAUAUUAGUACGCGUUCAUCGGUCCAGCGCGACGUCGGUACCUCGGCGCAUGGCUCUCGGUUUGACGCUUGUCCUCCCUUUCCCAUCCCCUGGCCCUAAUCCUCCAAAGGUGACGGACAGUGACGCCACGUCAUUGAGCUCUGGGCGUCGUCGCUUCUCCGGCAUGGUACCGUCUGAGCAUCGCGGCUCGGGCAGCUGUGUUCCUGCUGGGGCUGCAUGACGGCCUCAGGGCCAGCUAGCGGGCCAGCUAGCUAGUGACUGGCGUGCUGCUGAGAGGGGGGCCACUGGCCUGGCGGGGUGACGGCCACUGGCCUAGGGUGAUUGAUGAGCUGUUGGGCCUUUUGCGGUCGUCACUUGCGCUGCGGCCGUGGAGGCAAUGCGGGAAUUUACUGCAGUCGCCUCCUCUAGGGGGGCGGUAGCGCAGGCUGGCCCUUGGAGCUUGGGCGACAUCGGGUGAGGCCCCGCGUAGGUUUUUACUCGCGGGUGUCCGAGACCAUAUCACGCGGCACGCUCGUCCAUAUGGACGGCGUGGGGACUUGCGCGUGCACAGGCGUGCCCACCUUGCAACUGUUGGGACAUGCUACACCAACAGAGACCACCGUCACCAUGGGCCACGGGGGCGCCGUCUGUCGCAGCCUCGCUGCCAUCCUCUCAGCUCUCAAGUGCCGCUACCAGCAAACGAGACACGGCCCGUGGUUC